CAAAACUGUUGCGGGGCAAAGGUCGACCUGUGGCGUCUAGGAUACGAAAUGAGAUGGAUGGGGUCCGGCGAGAACCGGGAAGCCGGAGGCCAGAUUCUGACUUGAGGGAGAUUCAGCAAAAGCAGAGCUGUGGACUGUGUCAUCAACAUGGGCAUAACCGUAGAAGAUGUCCGCUUUCCCGUGGGGCUUCGACAAGCAGUAAUAAUCCAAACUAGGCAUGCAAAUACUCGAGUUUGGAAUGGCAUUGUAGAUGUCAAUUGGGGUUCUCUUUAUUAUGUAUUUGAACUUACUACUGGGUUGUAUCCACACAAUUAUUAUUUUGUUUGUCACUGAAUGAACUUGUAAUCGAAGUAUUUUAUAUCUAAUGUACCUGUUUCUAGAUUGUGAUA
This is a long non-coding RNA of Quercus robur (English oak), 389 nucleotides long. RefSeq lists it as uncharacterized. The transcript is spliced from 2 exons. Lineage: Eukaryota; Viridiplantae; Streptophyta; Magnoliopsida; Fagales; Fagaceae. The record is from RefSeq and is a predicted model, not a curated record.